CUUCUGUUCAAGCUCUGUCUGCAGCUGGUCCCUCUCCUCCUGACACCUGGGCACAGAAGGAGGACUCAGUUCUCUGCGUUUGUGCCUGAGUUUGAGCUGGCAUUGCCUCAGCUCUGUUCUGGCCUCUUCCUUUUGUCUUUGGUGGCUUCCUAGAAGAUUUCUUCCAAGAAAUGUGCUGGACUGGAAGAAAGAAAAUAGAGCUUCAGAGAGGAAAUCACACUGCUGAGGGCCACAAGGUUUGGAAGCCAGGCCUCACUGUGGCUCCAGAAUCCUGCAGCUUCUCUGCACCUCCAUUGCCAGAGAACAUCCGGGGGUUUCACCGUGCUCCCCUUCUUCAUCAGCGCUCUUGCUUCCUUACAGCUUAGCCCCAUGGAGCAGCAGCCUCCAGCCCCUGAGAGCACACAGAUCAGUCUGGAAUAGGCAGGUCUAUGGGGACAGAUGAAUGCUUGCCUAGGGCUGGGAGGUUGGGAGAAAAUGGCAGUGACUGCUCAUGGUACAGAAUUUCUCUUUGCGGUGAUGAAAAUGUCCUAAACCAUGGUGAUCGAGGCACAGUUUUAUGAAUACACAAAACCCCACUGAACUGUUUAAAAAAAAAAAAAAAAAGCAAACAUACUUAACAUUAAAGCCAAAAGUCAAUUCUUGUCCCUUCUCUACUCAGGACUCUCAGUGGUUCCUAUCUCACUCUGAGUGCAAGCGAAGGUCCUCUGGAUGACCUGUGAGGGUCUCCUGUUACCUGACUGACUUGCCCCUCCCUCCGCUCCCUCCUUCACUCCACUGGGCCUCUGUGAUGUUCUGAUGACCUGCUAUGGCCAUUCCUACCCCAGGGCCCUUGCUCUUGCUGUUCCACUGCCUGGAACGUUCUUCUACCACAUAUGCACAUGGCUUAUUCCUCACUUCCUUCAGGUCUUCGAUCAAGCAUCACUUUUUCACGGAGGCCCUCCCUGGCCAUGCUGCCAUAUUUAACCUAUACCCCUUGACACUCCCACCUCCUUUCUCUGCUUGACUUUCUUCCUUCUUAGGACUUGUCGCAUCAGACACGAUGCAAUUAACUUGCUUAUCGUGUUUACCAUUGGCUUUCCCCGACUAGAAGGGACGUUCCCCAGGAACAGGGAUUUGGUCUGUGUUGUCUGCAAGAGGAUUUCUGAUAUGCUACAACAGGGCUGGCACCGAGUAGGCAAUCUGAGAGUCUGUGGGAUAAUGGCUAGGAUAACAGGUGGCAGGAUAGUGGGCUAUGAGACAGGGGCUCCCCCAGCUGAGGGAGCAGCCUGGGCCUGGUGGUCUCUUUGGGAUCUCCCAGCGGCUCCCUCCAGCCCAUCGUGAUUCCCAAAGAAGGCUCCUGGGUGGGCAAGGCCCCUGGGUUAGCCUAGGGCCUGGGUCACAGGAAUCUUUCCUGACCAAACUGCCAAGCUCAGCCGAGCAUCCGGCGGGAGAAGCCCGGGGAGGGGUGCCUUUUGGGGUUGGUUUCUGGGCCCGCAGCCUCUCUCAGCCUUUUAAGCAGGGAGUCUGUCAAGCGGCCUGUGAUUCAGUCUGAAGCACAACUACCCAGGCUCCAGUGGGGUUUGGGCUGGCACCUCCCGGGGUGGGCGUCGGCCACACGUGAGAGACAGAGCCGGGUGGGCACACGGAGGCACACGGAGACCACAGGAGACAGACACAGAGACUGAGUCAGACCCAGGAAGACCUUUGCAUGGCGGAAAUAUUUUUAAAAUUCUGAAAGAGAAACUCAGACAUGGAGAGAGUGUGCUCUGGGCUCUUGAGGUUAAUAGCAUGACGGAAAGUGGGAGAAGCUGGAUGGUGAGAGGGGGCCGAGCGGGAGAGGCGGGGGGACUGAAAUAAACACAGGCACUCAAUACAGGGCCUGAGGGUCCGUGUGUAAGCCGUCCGGUGCUGCAGUCGGCUGUUGGGGUGCGGACCUCAGCUCCUCUACUAACUGGUGACAUUGGGUGAAUUGUGCAGCACCUUUGAGACUCAGUUGCCCUAUCUAUAAAAUGGGGAUUCUUAGAGAACCUACUUCAUAGGUUAGGAGGGAACACCUAGAACGGUGCCAGGGACAUAGUAAG
Long non-coding RNA from Mustela erminea (ermine), 2060 nucleotides. RefSeq lists it as uncharacterized. The record is from RefSeq and is a predicted model, not a curated record. NCBI's taxonomy places the organism in Eukaryota, Metazoa, Chordata, Mammalia, Carnivora, Mustelidae. The transcript is spliced from 4 exons.